This 479-nucleotide ribosomal RNA is filed under the name uncultured bacterium. RNAcentral's name for it is "partial 16S ribosomal RNA". It matches the Rfam family "Bacterial small subunit ribosomal RNA", at positions 28 to 507 of the family's 1533-position model. The record is from RNAcentral.
GAUGAACGCUAGCGGGAGGCCUAACACAUGCAAGCCGAGCGGUAGAGUUUCUUCGGAAACUUGAGAGCGGCGCACGGGUGCGUAACACGUGUGCAACCUACCUUUAUCUGGGGGAUAGCCUUUCGAAAGGAAGAUUAAUACCCCAUAAUAUAAUGAUUGGCAUCAAUUAUUAUUGAAAACUCCGGUGGAUAGAGAUGGGCACGCGCAAGAUUAGAUAGUUGGUGAGGUAACGGCUCACCAAGUCAAUGAUCUUUAGGGGUCCUGAGAGGGAGAUCCCCCACACUGGUACUGAGACACAGACCAGACUCCUACGGGAGGCAGCAGUGAGGAAUAUUGGACAAUGGGUGAGAGCCUGAUCCAGCCAUCCCGCGUGAAGGAUGACGGUCCUAUGGAUUGUAAACUUCUUUUGUACAGGGAUAAACCUACCCUCGGGAGGGUAGCUGAAGGUACUGUACGAAUAAGCACCGGCUAACUCCGUG